GGUGUAACACCGGUUUCCGUACGAUCAACAAAGUUAAGCAACAUCGAGUCUGGUCAGUACGUAGAUGGGUAGCCGUUUGGGAAUACCAGGAGCUGUAU
Non-coding RNA from Acanthosepion pharaonis, 98 nucleotides. The record is from the annotation of a GenBank genome assembly. NCBI's taxonomy places the organism in Eukaryota, Metazoa, Mollusca, Cephalopoda, Sepiida, Sepiidae.